This 409-nucleotide long non-coding RNA is filed under the name Gopherus agassizii (Agassiz's desert tortoise). RNAcentral's name for it is "lncRNA (ENSGAGG00000003600.1)". The record is from RNAcentral. Lineage: Eukaryota; Metazoa; Chordata; Testudines; Testudinidae.
CUUGCACUGAACAUCCAACCUCUUUGUUUGCAAAGUUAUAAUCCUGUGACAAUGGUGUGGUUUUGGAAUUUCAAAUUAGACCCCUUUCAAUAUCAUCACAACGUUUAAAACUAUAAUAAAGGCUUUCAGAAAUAUGUUCAACUGACAUCUCACAUAUUCUGUGUAAACAGAUUUUUUUUUUCAAUCUUGUUAACUUAAAAAUACUAUUGAUUUGCAGGUGAAGAAAGCAUUCCAGACCAAGCCAUAGAAGAAAAGCUAAUUGAGGCUGCUGCAGAAGAUCUGGAAAGAGAAACGGAACAAGUGAAAGUCUCCUUUCAAAACAAAACACUGGCGUUACAAAGGAUCCAGCUUAUAGAUGCCCUCAGAACCAAACUGAGACACAAUGAUGCCGACUCAAAGUUGAUCUUGG